This 96-nucleotide transfer RNA is filed under the name Grifola frondosa (maitake). It matches the Rfam family "tRNA". From Rfam's summary of the family: Transfer RNA (tRNA) molecules are approximately 80 nucleotides in length. Their secondary structure includes four short double-helical elements and three loops (D, anti-codon, and T loops). The record is from Rfam by way of RNAcentral. Lineage: Eukaryota; Fungi; Basidiomycota; Agaricomycetes; Polyporales; Grifolaceae.
UCCGAUAUGGUGUAGUGGCUAACAUUAUCGCCUCUCACGCUGAAACAGACAGUUGCUAGUGCGCGAUAGCCCGGGGUUCGAUUCCCCGUGUCGGAA